GACCUCGGAUCAGGUAGGAAUACCCGCUGAACUUAAGCAUAUCAAUAAGCGGAGGAAAAGAAACCAACAGGGAUUGCCUCAGUAACGGCGAGUGAAGCGGCAAAAGCUCAAAUUUGAAAUCUGACCCUUCGGGUCCGAGUUGUAAUUUGCAGAGGAUGUUUCGGGUAAGAUUUAGGUCUAAGUUCCUUGGAACAGGACGUCAUAGAGGGUGAGAAUCCCGUACGUGACCGUUGAUCGCACCCAUGUGAAACUCCUUCGACGAGUCGAGUUGUUUGGGAAUGCAGCUCAAAAUGGGUGGUAAAUUUCAUCUAAAGCUAAAUAUUGGCCAGAGACCGAUAGCGCACAAGUAGAGUGAUCGAAAGAUGAAAAGCACUUUGAAAAGAGAGUUAAACAGUAUGUGAAAUUGUUGAAAGGGAAGCGC
This 421-nucleotide ribosomal RNA is filed under the name uncultured fungus. RNAcentral describes it as "eukaryotic LSU rRNA". It matches the Rfam family "Eukaryotic large subunit ribosomal RNA", at positions 1 to 422 of the family's 3401-position model. Lineage: Eukaryota; Fungi. The record is from RNAcentral.